GUUCCCAUUCCGAACACGGCAGUUAAGCUCUUUUACGUCUAAAAUAUUUGGUUGGUGACGACCUGAGAAUUCGGAUAGGUGCCGACA
Molecule: ribosomal RNA, 87 nt
Filed under: Oscillospiraceae bacterium
Lineage: Bacteria; Bacillati; Bacillota; Clostridia; Eubacteriales; Oscillospiraceae
Source: RNAcentral